Molecule: unclassified non-coding RNA, 169 nt
Filed under: uncultured fungus
Lineage: Eukaryota; Fungi
Description: sequence contains ITS1, 5.8S rRNA gene
Source: RNAcentral
CUGGGUUUAAGGUUUCGUGCCUACCACCCGCCCUCUGUUAUAUCAACCACAACGCUUCGGCCGUUGGCCCCCCUUCAGUAGCACAUGCUGCUGGGGGUUGUCGCGGUCGGUUUACAAUUCUUAGUGUACGCAUGUUGUCUGAUAUGGAUGAAAAGCCAAUGUAUAAAAA